Molecule: ribosomal RNA, 483 nt
Filed under: unidentified sulfate-reducing bacterium
Lineage: Bacteria
Description: bacterial SSU rRNA
Rfam family: Bacterial small subunit ribosomal RNA
Source: RNAcentral
CCUGACGCAGCGACGCCGCGUGCGGGAUGAAGGCCUUCGGGUUGUAAACCGCUUUCAGGAGGGAAGAAAAUGACGGUACCUCCAGAAGAAGGCCCGGCCAACUACGUGCCAGCAGCCGCGGUAAUACGUAGGGGCCAAACGUUGUCCGGAAUUAUUGGGCGUAAAGAGCUCGUAGGCGGCUUGACAAGUCGGACGUGAAAUCGGGGCUCAACCCCGGGACGCCGUUCGAAACUGUCAUGGCUAGGGUCCGGUAGAGGUGAGUGGAAUCCUAGGUGUAGCGGUGAAAUGCGUAGAUAUCAGGAGGAACACCGGUGGCGAAGGCGACUUCCUGGACCAAUACUGACGCUGAGGCGCGAAGGCGUGGGGAGCAAACAGGAUUAGAUACCCUGGUAGUCCACGCAGUAAACGUUGAACACUAGGUGUAGCGGGUAUUGACCCCUGCUGUGCCGCAGCUAANGCAUUAAGUGUUCCGCCUGGGGAGUA